RNAcentral lists this ribosomal RNA (492 nucleotides) under uncultured bacterium. Its description in RNAcentral is "partial 16S ribosomal RNA". It matches the Rfam family "Bacterial small subunit ribosomal RNA", at positions 29 to 507 of the family's 1533-position model. The record is from RNAcentral.
AGUGAACGCUGGCGGUAGGCCUAACACAUGCAAGUCGAACGGCAGCACAGUAAGAGCUUGCUCUUACGGGUGGCGAGUGGCGGACGGGUGAGGAAUACAUCGGAAUCUACUUUUUCGUGGGGGAUAACGUAGGGAAACUUACGCUAAUACCGCAUACGACCUACGGGUGAAAGCAGGGGAUCUUCGGACCUUGCGCGAUUGAAUGAACCGAUGUCGGAUUAGCUAGUUGGCGGGGUAAAGGCCCACCAAGGCGACGAUCCGUAGCUGGUCUGAGAGGAUGAUCAGCCACACUGGAACUGAGACACGGUCCAGACUCCUACGGGAGGCAGCAGUGGGGAAUAUUGGACAAAGGGCGCAAGCCUGAUCCAGCCAUACCGCGUGGGUGAAGAAGGCCUUCGGGUUGUAAAGCCCUUUUGUUGGGAAAGAAAAGCAGCAGGUUAAUACCCCGCUGUUCUGACGGUACCCAAAGAAUAAGCACCGGCUAACUUCGUG